GCCGGAAUAGCUCAGUCGGUAGAGCAGAGGACUGAAAAUCCUCGUGUCAC
RNAcentral lists this transfer RNA (50 nucleotides) under Blepharostoma trichophyllum. Its description in RNAcentral is "partial tRNA-Phe". It matches the Rfam family "tRNA", at positions 1 to 48 of the family's 71-position model. From Rfam's summary of the family: Transfer RNA (tRNA) molecules are approximately 80 nucleotides in length. Their secondary structure includes four short double-helical elements and three loops (D, anti-codon, and T loops). Further hydrogen bonds mediate the characteristic L-shaped molecular structure. tRNAs have two regions of fundamental functional importance: the anti-codon, which is responsible for specific mRNA codon recognition, and the 3' end, to which the tRNAs corresponding amino acid is attached (by aminoacyl-tRNA synthetases). tRNAs cope with the degeneracy of the genetic code in two manners: having more than one tRNA (with a specific anti-codon) for a particular amino acid; and 'wobble' base-pairing, i.e. permitting non-standard base-pairing at the 3rd anti-codon position. RNAcentral also lists the same sequence under 6 other names. Lineage: Eukaryota; Viridiplantae; Streptophyta; Jungermanniopsida; Jungermanniales; Blepharostomataceae. The record is from RNAcentral.